AUAUAGAUAUAUAAGUAUAUAUAAAAUAUAUGUAUGUAUAUAUAGAUAUAUAGAUAGAUAGAUAGAGUGGAGGAAAUACGUAUUUGAUCUCUAACUAAUUUUGUGAGUUUGCCCUCUGACAAAGAAGUGAACAGUCUAUAAUUUUAAAGGUAGGGUUUUCUUUUAACAAUGAGAGACAGCAUAUAGAAAAGAAAAUGCAGAAAACCACAUUAUAUAAAGGAUAUAAAUAGAUUUGCAUUUCAUCCAGGGAAAUAAGUAUUUGAUCCCCUGCCAACCAUUAACAAUUCUGCCUCCCACAGACUGGUUAACUAGUAUUCCUCCUCCUUAGACACAAUGUCACCUGCAGCAAAGAUAUAUAUAUAUAUGUAAUAUCUUGUAUAUGUAAUAUACAUAUCUGUUAAAACCUGAGAUUUGGCAAAAGGUUCAAGGGGGCUUUUAUAUACUAUCUAAUACUUUUGCAAGCCACUGUUUCUUAGAAAUUCACCCAUAGUGUUUGUAUACAAUUCAGUCACCGAAACCAACACGCCCAAAGACUGAGUACCAGCCGAGCUAUAUAUUAUAAUUCCAUGUAUCCUUACUGCCAUUGUUCCUACUGCUAUCCUUUUGGGACUGUUGCAGGUUUUAUUAUUACUUAUUUAUGAUUGAUGAAUAAUUAUGUGUCGUAUGCUCGAAAUACAAGGGGCCCACAGAUUAAGGCUCUAAACCCGUGGACACUCCUGCUUCUGUCCAAAGUGCCUUUGGACAUUUCCACUUUAACAUGCAAUAAGCCGAUCUGUUUUAUUUUCACGUGUGACAUCUCAGCUAACUGAAAAUAGGGCUACUUGUAUGAUGUUUAAAUACAGAGCUGCAUUUGACUUGACACUGUGUUGACAUGUCAUGAUUUGAAUAAAGCAGACGCCGUGAUCGCAGCUUUGCUAUUAACUACCUGACCAUUAACUACCUGGAGAGCAGGGCAGUUUUUCCGCCGAUGCUAGUUAAGCUCGUUAGUUUCUACACAUUUUGUGGGUUGUUGUAGCUCUACAUUUUCCCAUUCUUGUCACGCUCCACUUCAGCUUCUUUUGUGAGUGAGACGCCGCCGUCCAGGAAGGGUUCAUGUUUUACCUCAUAGAUUUUGUUCGCUCGGAUAUCGUGUUUUGAGUUUAUGUUUUUCUUUUCUCUUUCCUGUCGCAUGGCUCUUUAUAUGAUGCCAUGAUUGACUGGUGCGUGUGAGCAUUCAUACACCUGACUACCCAUGCACAGGACGUUUAAGCUUAAAUUUGACAUUUGUAAAACAUGGUGUACUGUUUUCAGCCACUCAGAGUUUAAUUACUCUUUCAUGUUUGGCUCAAGAGGAAGCCCGUACUGUAUUUGUCUAUGGCAUAUUGCUGCUACAAUUAACAAGUGUGGCAUGUCUCACCAGGCAGUCUUGUUAAUAAAUGGUAGUUUAAUUAACUCGAGUUAAUUAAAAUGCCAAUGGGGUCAUGUUGGGCCAACAUGACCCCAUGUGCAUUUUUUUUCUCAGAAACUGUCAAUUAGAUGCAAAGUUCAAUGUAUAACUACUACUAGAAGUAUUCUAAGCUUUGAACGAGAGUUGCAACAAUUUAUCGUCAACUAAUCAAUGAGCAAAUGAAUAAUUUUUUGUAUCAAAUUUCAAUCAAUUAAUCGUUAGCUUUUUUUAAUAGUCCAAUUCCUCAGAAUUUCACCUUAUCAGUAGUAUACGUAUAUUCUCAGAUUUUUGUAGUCCCCCAUGUAUCCAUGAUCAUCUUUGUGUUGAAUUUUUUGUUUAUACGUUGAAAUACAAGUUUUUACCUAUUUUCUGGCUUGUUCCAUCCAAAUCUGUGACUGAAUCAUAAAACAUUUACGCAUUUUUCUACACUGUGAAUGUGAGAUAAUGCAUUUUCAAUAAAGCGUAAAUUAUAACAUUGUG
Molecule: long non-coding RNA, 1906 nt
Organism: Syngnathus acus (greater pipefish)
Lineage: Eukaryota; Metazoa; Chordata; Actinopteri; Syngnathiformes; Syngnathidae
Exons: 2
Source: RefSeq, a predicted model, not a curated record